Molecule: ribosomal RNA, 236 nt
Filed under: uncultured bacterium
Lineage: Bacteria
Description: partial 16S ribosomal RNA
Rfam family: Bacterial small subunit ribosomal RNA
Source: RNAcentral
UGAGUAACCUGCCCUUAACUCUGGGAUAAAGCCUGGGAAACUGGGUCUAAUACCGGAUAUGACUCCUCAUCGCAUGGUGGGGGGUGGAAAGCUUUAUUGUGGUUUUGGAUGGACUCGCGGCCUAUCAGCUUGUUGGUGAGGUAAUGGCUCACCAAGGCGACGAUGCGUAGCCGACCUGAGGAGGGUGAUCGGCCACAUUGGGACUGAGACACGGCCCAGACUCCUACGGGGAGCGG